RNAcentral lists this long non-coding RNA (551 nucleotides) under Phoenix dactylifera (date palm). RNAcentral describes it as "long non-coding RNA (PDAC_LNC019885)". The record is from RNAcentral. Lineage: Eukaryota; Viridiplantae; Streptophyta; Magnoliopsida; Arecales; Arecaceae.
UUGAGCCCGUGAGUUAGAUUAUAGAGAGUUCAAGAAGGUGGUGCAGGAAUAUUUCUUGCAUUAGCAACUUCAAAUACCCCUUCAAAAUCCUCACCUGUUUGGAAAUCCUUUGUCCGAUCAGGGAAAUAAAUUGCAGGCCAAUUCAGAAGGUCAAUUGGGACUAUCUGGACAUUAAUGGUGUACGCCCUGCAUUUGUCUCAGAAAUGCCUUGCAAUGUUCAACUCCCCAGCAAAACGGCCAAGGUUGAUAAAGUGAUCGCCAGUUCAAGUGAGUAGGAUAUCAAUUUAUUGGUAGGUUAUUUCCUUAAUGUCAUAGUACAGAUCAUUUCGAUAAUUCCUAUUUAUUCAAGUGGCAGUUUGGAUCAACAUUGUUGAGGUGAAAUAGAACCAAAGUCUCCAUCUCGAGAAGCACAGUCGAUGUGGCAAUUCCUUUAUUCUUCCUUUAAUGAUUUGCUUGAUACAGAAAAUAGAAAAAGAAAGUUGGAAGACUAAGAUUUAUCUCAAAUAAUGAAUCAUGAAAUUUGAUAAUAUCAUACACAAAAAAAUUAUAGG